Acanthosepion pharaonis is the source of this 118-nucleotide non-coding RNA. Lineage: Eukaryota; Metazoa; Mollusca; Cephalopoda; Sepiida; Sepiidae. The record is from the annotation of a GenBank genome assembly.
UUGCGGCCAUAUCAUGUUGAAACAUCGGUUCUCGUACGAUCACCAAAGUUAAGCAACAUCGAGCCUAGUCAGUAUCUAGAUGGGUGACCACUUGAGAAAGAAUACCUGGUGCUGUAAG